RNAcentral lists this long non-coding RNA (1729 nucleotides) under Fragaria vesca (wild strawberry). RNAcentral describes it as "long non-coding RNA (FVES_LNC001600)". The record is from RNAcentral. Lineage: Eukaryota; Viridiplantae; Streptophyta; Magnoliopsida; Rosales; Rosaceae.
CUUGUCAAAUCCUCAAAUGAUUCAAGUACAUGAAUGAUUCUAAUGUAAUUCGAUCCAUGAAUACUUGAGAGAGCCUGAAGCUAAUUCAUGAAAUCAAAUAGUCUAAAGUUAACUCAUAUAUACUCAUUUCGUUAUAGCUAACGUGAUUGAAAUUGCCUCAAUGAGUACUAUGAUCGGACUACACAAUUGAAUUCGAAUUAUGAUCAUUAUGUUGCUAUAUAUUCUAACUCUUGGGAAGUUAUGAAUUACUCAGAGCUCUUGUAGAGUUUAUAUGAGACGUAUCAUACACAUAGAUAUUGAUGUGUAUGGUUGGAUACGCCAUGAUGAUGUUUCAAUGCUUUAAUGUCAAUUAGCUUAUGUUGAUUAGCUAUUACUUAGUGUAUGAAUUUUAUGUUGAUUAGCUAUUACUUAGUGUAUGAAUUAGGUCAUACGACUUAAUGAGGUAAGACCUAUUUAUAAUCGUCUAGCUCUAGCUAUUGUUAUUACUUUAACUUUGCAGGUUUGAAAUUUCAUGAUGAGCCCCUAUAUGCAAAGCACACAUGGUCUCACUUUAGUGACGGACAAAUCAAACCGUUAUUUACGGCGCAUGAAGCUUGCAACGUUCAGGGGGAGAUUCUCAUCAAGGGGAGCAUCCAAAAGUAUGUUACCUAAAGACAUAUGAGCGUUGCACUCUUUUUCUCCUUCGACCAAGGUUAUUUUUCUUCCACUGGGUUUUUCUUACCUGGCAAGGUUUUUAACGAGACAACAUUAUGCGCGUCUAAUUUCAUCAUUCAUUAGUGGACAUCCAAAGAGGAGUGUUAUAAAUAUUAUAAUCUAUGUGGCUGUCCACGUAAUUACUCAUUAGUUAUGUACUCUGAUGUAAACUCUAUAUCUAUAUAAAGAGGCUAAUAAGAAUGAAUGAGUAGACUUCUACCUCCUCCCAACUAUUAUCUCUAUGUCUUCUCUUCUUCUUUUCUUUACUUUACAACACUUCUGGCUUUAUUAAUAGUAGAUUAUUGAGAACUUUAAUUGGAGCUGUCUUUUGUUGUGUGGUUCUAUGAACAAUAUUGCAUGGGUAGCAUCAUGCAGCUGAGUUUGAUACCGAUAUGUUUGUAGCUGCAGCUGGUAUUAAUUUAGAGUCAUUGAGAGAUCAAGCGGAAGACUAAGCAAUGCAAGAUAUUAUAUUUCAUCUUGUAUAACUUUGCUAGGAAGAGGAAUUAUUAGGUGGUCGGGGAUCACCACAUCAGAUCACCUAACUAAGCUAUAUUGCUAUAUGAUUGGGUAGAAUGUGAUGUUGUCUGUAAAUUUGACCUUUCUAACCAUAAAGAAAAGAGUUUGUCAUAAAGAAUCUAAUUUAGACAAAGGAGUUCAACUCCUAUUCACGAGGGUCUUUUUAUUUUUAAUAUAAAUUUUUAAUCUUAAUCAAUGAUUGAUUUCUUCUCUCUUUAAUAUUACAACUAAAACAGAUUUCUAGCAUUUUUAUUUUGUCUUUUUAAUAUGAUUUCCUAACCCAAUUAAAACAGUUUUAAUAAUUUCUUUUCAUAUUCUUUUUUGUUGUUGUUCAGUAAAUUUUUCAUGUUGUCAACUUAAUUAUGGAUGCUUUAGCUUUAUUCGAAAAAUAUGGUAAGAGAAGCUGAUCAAUUGGCAAUCUCAAGAAGCAAACUUGACAAAUCCAUCCCAUAUCAAGCUCACCUAACAAGUAACAAGUAAUGCAUAUGCAUUAUCCCAAAAAAAAAAAAAAAAAAAAAAC